Long non-coding RNA from Numida meleagris (helmeted guineafowl), 8393 nucleotides. RefSeq lists it as uncharacterized. The transcript has 3 exons. The record is from RefSeq and is a predicted model, not a curated record. NCBI's taxonomy places the organism in Eukaryota, Metazoa, Chordata, Aves, Galliformes, Numididae.
CCCUGGAACAGGAGAGGGACAUGGGGACUGCAGGGGACAUGAGGUGUAGGGACAUGGGAAAUAUGGUGGCUGUGGGGAUACAGGGGACAAAAGGGAUGUAGGGACAUGGGAGGAAACGGGAGGCAAGGGGACGCGGGGAGAUGUCCCUAUGGGGCCACGUGCAGCUGAGGGACAUGGUGACACCGGGGGGCUGGGGGCAGGGGGGCAGGUGACAGCGGGAGGGGACACGCGGGUACGGCCCUGCUCUUUUCAAUCCGAUCCCGGAGCUGUGAGCGGGCUGCAGGCAGAGCAGUCCCUGCUCUAGGUGGCAGCAGCCUCUUUCCCUUCUGUGCUGAGACACCCGAACACGAUUUCCCCAUUCCCUGCAUCCCUCCGAGGAACGCCACCCGGGGGGGUUUCUCCAUAGAUGCAGUGGGAACCCCUCCCAACGCUCUCAUCCUCCUGCCUCUGUCCUCUCCAUGUGGCUGCUGCAAGGUGGACCCCAAAGGGUCCCCCAAAGUCACCCCAAAGUGGCCCCAGAGGUGGCCCCCAAAAUGUCCCCCAAAGUGUCACCUAAGCUGUCCCCAAAAGUGUCCCCAGGGGUGUCUGCAAAGCUGUUCUCCUCCUGGGGUUGAACAAAUCCCAUUCCCUCAGCCCUUCUCUUUGCACCCAAAGCAUCUUCUGCUGCCGCUGCGCUGUGGUGUCACCAGGCCACCCCACUACGGUGCAGAGAGAACUCACCUUCCUGGUUAACAUCCAGCAGAAAAGAAUGAACAAGAAGCAAAGGGCAGAAAACAACUGCGGAGGAUGCUCUGGGACGGGAAUCAAGCAGGGGUGGGGGCAAGGUCCUGUUGCUCGCCAUGAGAGGUCCUCUGUGGGUGGCAUCCCAACCCCCACACCACGCAGGUUGGUGUCACCCAUGGAUGGCUGAGGGUGCACCGAUCCCGCUGUCGAUGUCACUGAUGGAGAUGUGAAAGCUGGUCAGUCCCUCCCGACUCCGAGGGACACCGCUGUCACCAGUCUCCAUCCGCUGACCCGUUGGCCACCGCUCUCUGGGUACGAUCCUGCGACCAUCGAACGGCCCACCCAUCUAACCCAUAUCUUUCCAACUUAGAGAGAAGGUGCUGUCCUGGGGGGGUCUGUCCUGCUGCCCAUGCCGUUGAUGAGGAUAUUAAAGAGGUCCCAGUGCUGACCCCCGAGGGACACCGCUGUCGCUCGUCUCCAUUUGGACCUCCAUGUCCUCCCUAUAGAGGUUCAGUGGGGCUGGUGGAUGUGGCUGAGGUUUUGGCUCCAUCAAGGCACCAGAAAGCACGGAAGACACUGAUGAAAUGUGACUGGCACGUGAAGCUUUGAUCAAUUCUUGGCUGAAGAGCUGGAAAAUGGAAACUCUGAGAAAUGAGACCUCUGGUGCAAGGACCAUCCCACACCUCGCUUGGGUUCGGCAGCGCUGAGCUCCAGCCCGGUGCCCAGGGAUGGGUGCAGCCCUCGGAGGAUAUUAAUAAAACACCGCGUGCCAUUGGGAUUGAGCUGCAGAGAUCUGCCUGGCCCUGGGGUGGGAGUGCUGUGACGGCUUUUGGGUUUGUUUUUUUUUACCAGGAAAGCCCUGAAAGCUGCAAAAAACACCUUUUUCUGGCACCUUCUCCAGCAGCCGCAGGAAUUCAGGUGCUGCGCGCACACACCUGAAAGUGCAAUAAGUGGUGUCAGCAAAUGCCAGGCAGCUAUCCUGUGUCAAACCAGAUAAAAUCAGCUCCAUCCCCGUCCUCUGUGUCUGUUCGCACACGUACGGUGUGCAAGUGAUCCGGCAGAAAUUUGGAGAUGACUUCCAUCGCCUCACCCCAACCGCGCUGGGCGAGGAACCAAAGAGAUUUUGCAGCUCCAUUUCAUGCAGGUGGAAAACCUCCCCGAGCCGAUCAGAAAUGGGGAAGACUGCUCUCUGUGAACGAGCAAGGUUGAACCGGGUCAGGGUGUCUAUGGGCUGGGGAGACCUUGGGUUGUUUCCAUAGAAAACAGCGGGACAAUGACUCACGUAAAUACCGAGCACGCUGCCUUGAAGGGGACACGUGGACGACGUGGCCUUGAGGGCACAGGGCACAUUGGUUUCUGCAGAAAUCCAUUUUGCUGCCGAGAAGGAAAGGAUUGCUCUGUGUUGACCACCCACCACAAGAGCAUCGGGAGGCAGAAGUGCACAUGCAAGGUUUUGCCCUACACCCUACAAGUAAAGAAAAGCUCCAAGGGAAGGGGCUGGCUUCUGGGCAGUGGGAUUUCGUGGGGCUCCUGAGAUGGGAAAGCAGAAAAUGCUCAGCAGCACAGCAGGAAAAUGUGGUUUCAUGCCUGAGACAGGAGCAGAUCCAAAACAAAGAUAAGGAAGCUUUGCAUGACGACGGGAGCGGGGCCGGGUAUUCAUCCAGCUGCCUCCAGCACGAGCUGGGGAAAGCGUGGAGCUCGCUGCCAAAGCUGAAGGCUUCAAAGGGAUCCACCAGGAUGGGUGCACGGCUCAGAGCUGUGGGUCCAAGACCUGAUGUAUGGGAGGACUCAGGAGCAGAACCGCUGAGCAGAAAUUGCUUUAUACCCAGGGAAGGAGGGGAAGCGUGUCCCUUUGAUGGGGAUGAGAUGAUGCUGCCUGUGAUCCGCAUCCCAUGGGGGCUGACAUCACUGCUGCGUGCAGCCGUGCGUGUCCAGACAGCAGCGGGAGGCAUCGGGCGCUGCGGGGCGUGAGUCAACUCGUCCCCAGGCAAAGAUCUCUGCCAGCUCAGGGGAAUUGAGCCCAAGGAGAGAUUGCACCCUGAUUCCCUGCCAGAAGCACGAAGGCAAGACUGGGUGCUGGCAGAAGCGUGCACCUCGAUGCUGGAGGAGUCUGCUUUGGGUCAGCUUUUUGAGUGUUCCUGGAGUCAGAGUGCAAAAAUGCGCUGAUCCUCACGGGUAGGCAGUGCUGCUGCAAACAGCACACCUAAGCAAACGGGGUCCAAGCACCACCCACGGAGCAACAAACCCCAAAUCCUCAGUUAAUGGAAGCUGAAUGUGCACGCCGUGGUCCUCCUUCCUUGCCCAGAGGUAUCAAGGCCAGUGCGAUCACUGCACAAGUGCUCCAUCCAUUGGGAUGCUGAGCGAGAGAUGUGGCUCCUGCUGUUCCCAUUCAGCAUCACCUCGGCCCACAGCUCUGUCCGUUCUCAGACAAGAGGACCAUGUGGCUUGCAGGUGAGCUUGGCUUUUUCGGCCCUUUUUGGGUUACAACACAGAAAACGGAGGAGAGAGGUGUGGGGAGGAAUGACCUUUUCCACCUCAGGAUGUGGGACGAGCUUGGAGCAUCCUCAGCCCAGCAGAGGAGAAAGCAGCCAGGAAAACACUGGAAGCAAGAGCAACCUUGGGAUUAGGACAAUUAGAAGCUGCUGGGAUUUGCAUAGCCUAAUUAAAGAUUCACUGAGCAGACACAACGAGACCAAGCCUGAGCAGCCGCCCCGUGCUCAGCAUUUCCCUGUGGACGCCCUGGGUCCUGUUUCAGGGCAUGAUUCACGUCCCACACGUAGGAGAUCUCUGCUCUCACGGGGUGCAAUAGGAGCUGAGUCCUGUGGAGCCAUCCCCUGGGAGCAGCCAGAGGCUUAGUACCCAAUUUGGGGCAGAAUUUUUCAUUUUGAGCAAGGAGAGCAACCCGUGAUGCCAACACAGACAUUCCUCACAUUUGGCUUUGGGUGUACUUCUCAACCCAAAAGCCCCAACUCCUCAACCCAACAAACCCAGCUCCUCAAGCCAAUGAACCCAACUUCUCAACAAACCCAACUCCUCAACCCAAAAACCCCAGCUCCUCAACCCAACGAACCCAACUCCUCAACCCAAAAUCCCAACUUCUCAACCCAACAAACCCAACUCCUCAACCCAAAAUCCCAACUUCUCAACCCAACGAACCCAACUCCUCAACCCAAUUAGCCCAACUUCUCAACGAAUCCAACUCCUCAACCCCCAAAUCCCAACUUCUCAACCCAACGAACCCAACUCCUCAAUCCAAUGAACCCAACUCCUCAACCCCAAAAUCCCAGCUUCUCAACCCAACGAGCCCAACACCUCAACCCAAUGAAUGCAACUCAACCCAACGAUGUUUUUCCACCUGUUGGCACAAAGUGGGUUUCCCCACUCAUUGGCAAUCCUCAUAGCCCUGGAUGGUUAGCCGUGGAACAACCCUGGAUGGGAUUUGUUUCCACCUAUCUGAGCACUGAGCACUGCUUCUUGCUGAGCUUUGGACCUUGGACCUUUUCCCUGCCACCAGGUUGCAGGGAGCAAGGCUGAAGUCACCGCAACAGCUGGAGCUUGGCAGCAUUGCCUUCCUCCUCCUCCCCAUAUGGCGGGCAGGGAAAGCUGCACAGGGGCUGAAUCCAGAAGCAAAAGGAGGAAAAUCUGUCAGGAUGCGGGCAGCCCUGCUGGUCCGCAGAGAGCUGGAUGCUAUCCCACUCACCCCUUUGCGAAGUUGUCCUUGAGGGUUUGUUUUUGCAGUUAACCUUUGCAGAAGUACGUAAAAGUUUCAGCGGCGUGAACAACGAGGAAAAAUGGUUCCAACCCCAUGAAUAUGGAAGACUCCCAAGCACAAACACGGAAGAAGGAAAAGUGAAGGGAAUGAGGAGGUCCCGGCCCUUCCUGGUGAAGGGAGGGGUUCCUGAGGCUUCCUUAAUGCAGCCCGCUGGGAAAACCAUUGUUUUCCCUUCUCCUCCCACAAAGCUCAUGGCAGAGCCCGGUGCUGGGGACUCAGUCCUCCCAUAUCUGCCCCAAUAUGUGGACGGUUUGGGGUCUGCGAUAGGGGUACUACAACCCCUCGUGUCAAAUCAUCCCCACGGCUGCAGCCCUCGUGCAAGCCGCUUUCUUUCUGCAGUUUCUUUUUAAUUCGCUUUUUUUUCCGAGUGAGAUGUCCCCGUUCUCGUCCAUCCAUAACGGCGCUCGUUGGGGAUUUGGGGAUAUUUUGCCUGGGCAGGGGAGGCCAAAGCCGUUGUUUCCCAGUGGGUGAUAAGAAGCCCUUGCUGGGUUGGGAUCCACAUGUUUGCAUGCCUGUGGGGACGCAAAUCUGAGCAUCACGUUACAGGAAGAAUCAGGAGAAGCAGACUGGAUAUGGAAAUGCCGAGCAAGACCCGUCACGCUCCCCGAGCCGUAAUUAGGGAGCACUAAUUGCCUUCAGGAUCCUCCUUCCCAAAGCAGCUGCAUCCCCCAGGUGAUCCCAAACCAUGGAUGGCUCGAUGACCGUGAGCAAAGGGCUAUGAGAACGGGAUACCCAUGGUUUCCUCCCAGCGAAAAGGCAUAGCUUGUGUUAAUUCAUGGAGAGUGCCUCGUUCUGCACCAAUUAGGAAGCGAAAUGCAGAAGCGGAACUGCUUAUUAAAUUACAGACCAGGCAGGCUGAAUCUGAAGAUUAUUUAACGCCGAGUGUUGCUAUGAGGCACUCGCAAAACUGCGUUGGGAUGAUAAUAAUAAUAAUAAUAAUAAUAAUAACAAUAAUGGGAGUGAUAUCGCUCAAAGUAACGAAGGCAUAAAUCAGGCAAACCCUGCCGGUAAAAAGGAGAAACACAUAGUUUGAGGACAAGGAAUGCAUCAAGUGCCGACACUGAGGAAUAAAGCAGCGUGCUCAGAGCGCCGUAAUUCAGAGCCAUUUUCCCUACAAUCGUAUUUUCAGCACCAAUUCGUUAUCUCAUCCCGCUAAGCCAAAGAGAUGAGAAACAUUAAAGUCUCUUUGAGUGCGAGCAUCCUCACCCCUGAUAAAAAGAGCUGAGCCGCUUCUUGUUCGGCUUCUUCCAUGCAGCCGCACCAGAAACCAUCCCCAAAUGGAGAAGGCAAUGAGAAAUGGGUGCAGAUCUGGAUAACAGAGGUGGAGUGGCGUUUUGCUGCCCUCUGCAUCACCCUCAGCGCCGCACUGACCCCGGGGCUGCGAUCUGGAAAUCCAUGCUUGCAGGGUGAGCAAGAGCUGGGACGGAUCGUGGGGCACGCAUGUGAGUGGAGCAGGGCGGAGGUUUGCACGCUGCAAGCACCAGCGUUUGGUUUGUCAUCCAAGGGAAACAAAACCUCAGCCCUGAGCAUCUCCCAAGCGCAGCCUUUGGGACACGGUCAGCUCCACGUCCCUGCUCUGCGUGCUGAGCCUGGAGGAUGGUGCAGAGGGAUGGAGGAUGCAGAGGGAUGGAGGAUGCAGAGGGAUGGAAGAUGCAGAAGGAUGGAGGAUGCAGAAGGAUGCAGGAUGCAUGGGACACCUGAGCCGAUGGCACAGCUCCUGCUGCAGCCAGGAUGCAACCCCUGGGACUCGCAGCCUGGUGCUCUGUGGGAAAGGGCAGCCCUGGAGCUAUAAGGAGCAGCAGCCCGACAUGCCACCAGCACUGUGCAGCUCUGCUUUUCCCACAGAGCACCAGGACCAGCCUGCUGCAUUCCUGGAAUGCUAUUUUAUCCCCAGCACGAUUUACAAAAGAGCCUGGCGAUGGCGGAGGGGCUCGGCGGUGACCUUGUUUAUAUUGCGGGAGCGAUAGGAAAAGCAGUUUGCGUCCUGAACUGCCCAUAAAAAUGGGCUCUGUUGUUGUUGUUGUGCGCGUGCUUUGCUUUGUUUUAUCGCCAUUCCCUGAAACACGGAGCAAAAAUCCUCUGGGAGGCGGAUUGCCUCCAGCCCAUGCCCCUGCCAUGCUGAGAUCCCAGCGGGAGCGCAGCACCAGCACCACCAGCACCACCGGUUCCACUGGGAGCGACCCAACCUGCAGCCACCCCUCUGCAAACCACCCCAGGAAGCUGCCAGGAAGCCCAGCACGCUCCUCACGAAAGGCACAUUGCCACGGGGCCGGGCCCGCCUGCUGCAGGAGAUUAAUUAUUAUUCAAGUGCUGAUAAAGCGAGCAAGUUAAAUCCAGCGAUAAAGGGUUAGAUAAAGCGGAGCUGCUCUGUUUGCAUUUUAUGGCAGGCAGGAGCUGGCUGCUCGCUGCUAACCGGGCUCUGGCGGCUGUUGCAGCCUUUGGGGACGUGUGACCCUGUGCUGGCUGCAGUGGGGUUGCAAUAUCCUGAUGUUCCUGCACUUGGUUUGCAGCUGGAAAAGCAAACGCUGGAUGCACGGUGCUGGGGUUCUCUGCUUCGGGCGAUGGGUCCUGUGCUGGUCACUGGUGCUCAAUAGUGGCCAUCAAAGUGGGGACACCCCCAGAGCUCUGCUGUAUCCGUGUCACCGUGUCCUGCAAGGAUGCAGCAGGGGUAGCAGCGCUGCAGGAUGCUCUCAUUCCCCAGCCUGGAGCAUCUCUUAGUGGUCCGGUGACGGUGGGACGCUGGGGUGCAGGGUGUUGGGAGCCAUCCUGGGCACAGUUUGCCCUCACCCCUGGGGAUGCUGCACGCUCAGGGGGGCAAACAGAGCCACGAACCAGCACAGAUGGAACAGCCACAGCCUUGAAGAUGUUCCUGGAUCCUGGAGCUGCUUCCAGGAAUGAGGGGUGGGAGGAAGGGAGGAGAGGGCGGAUAGCGGCAGGGAGAGCUCCUCCGUGCUGCUGCUGAUGGGGCAGCCCAGCGGCCGGGGCUGUGGGGUGGUGGGAGCAGAGCUGGUGGGAUGAGCUGCAGGAAGAGGGAGGGGUUAUUGGACGGGUGAGGCUUCUCCCGAAGGCUCCAGGCCUUCCUCGCGCCUCUUCCUCCUUCCCCACCCACACUUAAUUCUCUCUAAUCUGCACGGGGACGUGCCUGCACGGCGCAGGGACCUCUGGCGCACGUCAGCAGGGAGCCAGGGGCCGGUCAGAGCAUUGGGGCCGGGUCCUGGCUGCGAGCAGCGACGUUUCCACUGCAGCAUCAGCUCCGUGAGAGCAGGAGCAGCUCCGAAUCGCUCCCAGCUGCCUGCGGUCGAAAAGCAAGCGAGCAAAAAGGGAGGUUCGUAGCCAGAGCGUGCGACACGUGGAUGGGGAGACGCACACGUGGAUGGGGUGAUGCACAAGACGCAUACGCAGAUGGGGAGACGCACACGUGGACGGGGAGGUGCACACGUGGACGCAGAGAUGCGCAUGUGGGUGCAGGGAUGCGCACGCCGCACCCCCACUGCUGCAGUCUGUGCCCACGGUGUGGGGCAGGAAACCCAGCACUUGUGUUUUGCUGGCAAUGGUGGGCAUGGAUCCUGCUGCAAGUGAAGGAAACGCUCGGGGGGAGCCCUCUGGGUGGGGGGGGUCAGGAGGAGCUGCACCUCUGGGCACAGCCCUGUGCACGCUGCCGCCUCGGGCACCAAGGCAGAGAUGCAGAAGAUUCGGCGCUCAGACGAAGAGGAUGGUGGGAGGAAGGACUGCAGUGCCCCGUCCUACACGGUCACAAUUCCCCCGUUCUUGUCCCAGGGACCGAGCCCUGAGGGCUGUCCCCAAGGUGGUGACAGCAGCGAGGAGCCCAGGGUGAGCCCACAGCCCCCGGGGUGGCUGCCAGCAGCACAGUGCCUGCACUGCUCACCUGUAGCUGACG